RNAcentral lists this transfer RNA (77 nucleotides) under bacterium. Its description in RNAcentral is "tRNA-Val". It matches the Rfam family "tRNA". Rfam says of the family: Transfer RNA (tRNA) molecules are approximately 80 nucleotides in length. Their secondary structure includes four short double-helical elements and three loops (D, anti-codon, and T loops). RNAcentral also lists the same sequence under 1 other name. The record is from RNAcentral.
GGGCGCUUAGCUCAGCUGGUUAGAGCGCUACAUUUACACUGUAGAAGUCGGGGGUUCGACUCCCUCAGCGCCCACCA